CAUAAAAGUAUCAUCUCUAUCUGUAUCGUCACCAUCUCCAUUGCUAUGGUUUGUAACAGUCCCAUCUAUAGUUGCUGGCAGAUCUCCAUCUUCGCGAUAGUUUGGAUUUGUAACGGGCCUCUCGAAGAUGUGUAUAACUUUAGAAUGCGACAGUUACAGGUAACCAAUAAAAAAAAUCAACUAACCUGUACUCCUUGCGCAACAAAGUAUACAGCCCAAAGUUCUAUUAUACCUAUUAAGGCCGCCAGUGUACCAAAUAUGUUAACAAUGGUAAAUAAAAACAAUAUCUGAAAAAAAGUUUAAUUUUUGAAACAUUCUUGUAUAAAUAAUAUGAAAGUAUUACGUUGUGUAACAAGGGUAAAAUUAGUGUCAUGACAUGAGUCAUUACCGGCCAGUCUCCAUGUUCUAAACAUUUUUUUGAAAAGCUCAUAAAGGAUCGUAUGAUGGCAUUAUUUGCAACCAACAACUACAUAAUUUGGAUUUCGUGGAGGUAAAAACUAGGUUGAAGAUGCUAUAUUGUUUGAUCCUUUUAUGAAAACUUUAUAAAGCUGGGUUUAGGGGCCGAGUUUUCACUUGUUUUAAAUAGUCGGCAAGACAUCAAAAAGUUAAAAUCAAUAAAAUAUAAAGUGAUGUUUGGAGCUUACUACCGGUGUCCCUUAAGGAUCUGUGCUGGGUCCGAUGUUAUUUUAAUGCAUAUUAACUCUGUCUUCAAACAAUCAUCAGCAAAACAACAACAUUCGCUGAUUAGUGAUUUUCAAUUGGCUGUAGAUAUCUCAGUUAAAAAUGAUCGUGUCAUGACAUAGCAAAGGGCAGUAUUUAAGUACAAAAUGGUGAAACUGUUUCACAGUUUAUUUUAAACGCAUUUCUUUAUAAUGUUUGCGACUGCAAAUUUAAAAAAAAUUAUGCAGAAAGCUUAUUUUGUUGGAAAAUAGAAAAAAAUUCUUUACUUUUGUACUUUUGCAAAAAAUGGCCAAUGUAGAAUGUAGUUAAAGCCUAGUACGCAGCUGAAGUGAAACGAAAUUUUCCAUACCAAUAUAUAGGCUAUUGCUUAUGUAGUUAAGAAAGGAACUAAGACAUUCAAUGGGUUAUAAAAGAAGAUAGAACCGCGGAGUGCUAUAAAAUGAGAGGGUGGAAACUGAAGAUAGGGGUGCAAAAGCCCCCUUUUUGGUUUUUUCAAUAUACCUCGUAAACCGAGCAAAAUUUUGAUAUAUUGCAGAUAAAACUUUUUGUAGAAAAUUAAAUUUCCUUUUGGGAUAAUGUUUUUAAAAAAUUGAAAAAAAAAAAAAUUUCCAUACCAAAAUAGUCGAAACAAUCAUAAAAAAAAUAUUAAAAAAAUCGAUUUUUUGAGUUUUUUUGGCUUUUUUAGUUGUACCUACUUUUUUUUUGGUUUAAGAUAGACGAGUGAUUCCGAUAAAGAAAGUAUUUUGUCUAUUUUUCAAUUUUCUCAAAAAGUAGAAGGCAUAGGAACAUUAUGAUUUUCAUGAUUUGAUAAGAAAUCAAUUAAGGCAGUUUACUUUGUCGAUCAAUUUCGUAUUGAAGUCCACAGUCUUUGUGAAAAUUGUACUCAAUGUGCUUUUUAAACUUUUUUUUCACAAGUUUUGACUUUGAAAUCGGGUAUUUCAAAAAUAAUUGAUUAAAAUAACUUCAUUUUAAAAUUAAUAUUAAGUUUUUAAUUCUAGCUUUUGAAAAAAGUAUCAAUCAAAACUGUAAGUGUUGCCGUUGUUUUCUAAUAAUUUUUUUUAGAAAAUAGCCCCUCCUACCAAAACGCGGGGACAUUGACCCCUCCCAUAGUAAACAAUGAUUGUAUUUAACCCCUCUACAAAAUCUCACUAUUAGUUCUUGGUGCUUAAGUUAUCGAACUUUCCCCUCAAAUGUUUCUGUUUUGCUUGAGUAAAACUAAAAAUACGAAAAAAAGAUGGAUUAAAAUGGCCAUACUUCGGUUAAUUUUCAAUGAAAAAAUUUAGUGAGCACAGCAUUUUGAAGGAAAUUUAAUCUUCUGUUUUUCUUUGGAGCAAUGUUUAUGUCUAUCUCAACCCAAAAAAAAAGUACAACUAAAAAAGCAAAAAAACUCAAAAAAUCGAUUUUUUUGAUAUUUUUUUUAUGAUUGUUUCGACUAUUUUGGUAUGGACAUUUUUUUUUUCAAUAUAUAUCAAAAUUUUGCUUGGUUUACAAAGUAUAUUGAAAAAACCAAGUUUCCACCUUCUCAUUUAAUAGCACUCCGCGGUUUUAUCUUCUUUUAUAAUCCAUUGAACGAUUCCUGCAAUAAAAACCCGUGAACGUCAUAGUUCCUUAUUACCCUGUUUUUUUUUUACAUAAUCAAUAGCCUAAUAGCACAACGAUAUCUUGAACUAAUUUUUUUUUGUUUUAAAACAUAUUUUGUGAUGUUUUUUCUUAUUGUUUUCUUAUUUUUUUUUUAUUUGUAUUUUUAUUAUUCUGAGUUUGAUAAUUGAUAUAGCCAAUACUCGAUGGUAUUUUUUCGUUUAGGUACAUGUUUGCUGUUGACUUUGGAGACUUAAAAAUUUGAGAUUUUUUUAGAUUGAUUUUUGACAUAAGUUAUAAAAUAUCCAAACAGCGAUAAAAACCAAAAAAAUAGCCCAUUAGCACUUAUUCUAGGAUUUUACAAGGAUGUUUUUAGUGCAUAUCCUUAAAUUUUCCCUUUUCUCAAAAAAUACCAGUUUUUCAUAGAUAUAUCUGUUUUUUCAUUGGAUCGCUUUGAUUGCACUGACUUUCCUGAAUCUAAAUCUCUUUUCAGAAAAAUACUAGCACGUACUUGUAGAAAAUAACCCUUUUAGAUUCGGUUGACCUUGUACAAAAAUAAAAAUAUUAUUCAUAUUAAGCUCAAAUUUGGAGGACUCAUUUCUCAUAACAUGAUCUCUCAUAUGACACCGAAUUUGCAUUUUUUAAACACAUUUUAAGAUACUAAAUGACAAAAACAGCAAAAAUAUCUAAAUCCUGCAGUUUUUAGUAAAUCCCAAAAAAAUAAACACCUUAAUUAAGGAAAAUGUAAAAUGUCAACGCCCAUUAUAUUUAAAAAGUCAAAUAUGUAAAGAAAAAUACAUUAAACGAAAUUUUUACGUGUUUUGUAAUUUUAUGUACUAUUUUUCUAUUUACAUAGAAAUAUCUUUAUUUUUAUAA
Long non-coding RNA from Episyrphus balteatus (marmalade hoverfly), 3135 nucleotides. RefSeq lists it as uncharacterized. The transcript is spliced from 3 exons. The record is from RefSeq and is a predicted model, not a curated record. Lineage: Eukaryota; Metazoa; Arthropoda; Insecta; Diptera; Syrphidae.